This 72-nucleotide transfer RNA is filed under the name Camelus bactrianus (Bactrian camel). It matches the Rfam family "tRNA". From Rfam's summary of the family: Transfer RNA (tRNA) molecules are approximately 80 nucleotides in length. Their secondary structure includes four short double-helical elements and three loops (D, anti-codon, and T loops). The record is from Rfam by way of RNAcentral. Lineage: Eukaryota; Metazoa; Chordata; Mammalia; Artiodactyla; Camelidae. RNAcentral also lists the same sequence under 1 other name.
GAGGGUGUAGCUCAGUGGUAGAGCACGUGCUUAGCAUACAGAAGGUCCUGGGUUCAAUCCUCAGUACCUCCA